Molecule: long non-coding RNA, 707 nt
Filed under: Felis catus (domestic cat)
Lineage: Eukaryota; Metazoa; Chordata; Mammalia; Carnivora; Felidae
Description: lncRNA (ENSFCAG00000046324.2)
Source: RNAcentral
CUUGGUGUGUUGCCAGGAGCUCGAGUUCUUGUAAUGGUGUGCUUUUGCAUUUUUAUCUUCUGGCUUCCUGGGAGGGAGGUGACCACAGCCACCUUGAAAGGAUGAUGGAAGCUUUGUCAUCCUGAUCCCCUGAAUGACUGCAUAGAGCUGGGCUGUCCCUGACCUGGAACUCCCAUCCUGAUCUGCUAACUUGUUCCGUGAGACACUAAAUUUGGAGGAAACACACUUUACAGAAGCAACUUCUCAUAAAGAUUGCCAAAGCUUGGCGCCCCUACCUUUCCCACUCAUUCAUCCUGUUUUGGGCCCAGCACUGAGCUCCUGUGAUUGGCUUAUAUUCUUAAAACCAGGAAGCAUGAUGCCCAGCAGAUUUCUAGCCUGUCUGAUCCUGCCCCAGUGCUUGGUAACCAAGUCCUAUGUUACUGAUUGUUGUCUAUUUUACCAUGCCUCCUGGUUCCAGACCCUGGCUACAAACUGUUUUUUUUUUUUAAAUAUUCCUAAUAAACUUUUGCUUUAAGAUGUGAAUUUACUAUAAUAAGAGGAUCUUGACAGUAAUAGUUUUAUUUUCUUAUUAAUGCAAAAGUUAAACUACUGACCACAGAGCUGCAAUAUGGACUCUUCCUAUGGCUAUGAAUGUAUAUAAGAGUAAAACACUAUCUUAUGUCUUUUAUCAUAAUAAACCCCUCUUUACCAUAUAGAAUUUAUAAUGG